Molecule: long non-coding RNA, 2680 nt
Filed under: Homo sapiens (human)
Lineage: Eukaryota; Metazoa; Chordata; Mammalia; Primates; Hominidae
Description: HSALNT0166607
Source: RNAcentral
GCCAGAUUCAGGUGCGGCCAUUUGUGUGUCCCCGAGGUUCCUCGCGGGCCGGCAUCCCACGCCGAGGGUGGUGGUGGCAGGCUUUCCAGAAAGGCAGCACACCAGGCUCAGCUCUGCUGGCGAGCAGGAGGCGACGGCAGAGGAAACUUCAACCCGAUGAACUUCCUGGUUGCGGGGACAUUUGCCUCCUCCUGCCACUCACCACCUCUGCUCUGGUCCCUCCCUCCAAGAAUCCUCAUAGCGUCCUCUCUCCCCACUCUCUCCCAUCCCGCGUCUCCCAUAUUUGCCCCAGCUUGGCUCAGGGCCACAGUUCUGCACUCUUCAGCCGGCGGCGCCACCAGCAGUUGUUUCUACGCGGGAAAUAGGGCAACAGCAUCCCAGCACAGCUGAGUGCCCAAGGAUGGUCAGCCGGGUAGGGCAAGAAGCUUCUUUCAGGGAUUCUGAUCUCACGAAACAAGAGUAAUGAUGGCACUUCACUCAGAGGUUUGUCCUGAGGCUUAAAUGAGGCAACAUGGACACAGCAUUUUAGCACAAGGCCAGGCUUUAACUCAAAAACUCCACGAGAGAUACUCAAAGAGGCAUUUAAAGAGUUAACAAGGAUACUCAUUGAAGAAAUAUUUACAAUAUAAAACAUUGGAAGUAACCAAAAUUUUCAACAAUAGCAGAUGUGAUGGUGCUGAUGUUUAAGAAGAAAGUCCUUAUUAGGAGGAUGCUGCUGAAAUAUUUAAGGACAAAGUGUCAUAAUGUCUGCAUUUACUCCCAAAUGUCUCAUCAAAAAUGUGCAAAUAUGAAGUAAAUGGGGCAAAAUCUUAAUAAGAAGUGAAUGUAGCUGGCACAGGAUUGACUCCUGGUGGAACCCAACUCAGUGAUCUGUGCAGUGUGGUGUUUUCCAAACUGGCCAAGGUGUCUGCAGGGCCCUCAGAAUUUUCCAAGCAAGAAAAGAUUUGGCUACUUGGAGAAACUUCAUCCUUCUGGAGGCAUCACCUCCAGAAUCUACUUGAAGUGGAUGACACUGACUUCCAUGAACUGUUUUCCUUUUGCUGAGGGUGAUGGCUUCCAACUCCAUCCAUGUCCCUGCAGAGGAGAUGAUCUCAUUCCUUUUUAUGGCUGUAUAGUAUUCCAUGGUGUGUAUGUACCACAUUUUCUUUAUCCAGUUUAUCAUUGAUGGGCAUUUAGGUUGAUUCCAUAUCUUCGCUAUUGCGAGUAGUGCUGCAAUAAACAUAUGCAUGCAUAUAUCUUUAUAAUAGAAUGAUAUAUAUUCCUUUGGAUAUAUACCUACUAAUGGGAUUGCUGGGUCAAAUGGUAUUUCUGCCUCUGGAUUUUUGAAAAAUCACAACACUGUCUUUCACAGUGCAAACCACCGUGAAACUAAUUUACACUCCCACCAACAGUGUAAAAGUUUUCAUUUUUCUCCACAAUCUUGCCAGCAUCUGUUGAUUUUUGACUUUUUAAUAAUAGCCAUUCUGACUGGCAUGACAUGGUAUGUCAUGUAUAUCAUUGUCAUUUUGAUUUGCAUUUCUCUAAUAAUACACUUAUUAUUUAGGAGCUUUUUUUCAUAUAUUUUUUGGCCGCAUGUGUAUAUUUUAAGAAGUGUCUGUUCAUGUCCUUCGCCACUUUUUAACAGUGUUAUUUGUGUUUGUCUUUUAAAUUUGUUUAAGUUACAUGUAGCUUCUGGAUAUUAGACCUUUGUCCAAUAGAUAGAUUGCAAAAAUUGUCUCCCCUUCUGUAGGUUGUCUGUUCACUCUGAUGAUGGUUCCGUUUGCUGUGUGGAAGCUCUUAAGUUGGAUUAAAUUCCAGUCGUCAAUUUCUGCUUUUGUUAUAAUUGCUUUUGGAGAUUUCAUCAUGAAAUCUUUGCCCAUACCUAUGUCUUCAACGGUAUUGCCUAGAUUUUCUUCUAGGGUUUUUAUUUUAAAUUUAUACUUUAAGUUCUGGGGUACAUGUGCAGAAUAUACAGGUUUGUUACAUAGGUAUAAAUGUGCCAUGGUGGUUUGCUGCACCUAUCAACCCAUCAUCUAUAUUAGGUAUUUCUCCUAAUGCUCUCCCUCCUCUAGCCCCCGCUGUGUGUGAUAUGCCCCUCCCUGUGUCUAUGUGUUUUCAUUUUUCAACUCCCACUUAUGAGUGAGAACAUGUGGUGUUUGGUUUUCUGUUCCUGUGUUAGUUUGCUGAGAGUGAUGGUUUCCAGCUUCAUCAUGUCCCUGCAAAGGACAUGAACUCAUCCUUUUUUAUGGCUGCAUAGUAUUCCAUGGCAUAUAUGUGCCACAUUUUCUUUAUCCAUUCUAUCAUUGAUGGGCAUUUGGGUUGGUUCCAAGUCUUUGCGAUUGUGAAUGGUGCCACAAUAAAAAUAUAUGUGUGUGUGUGUGUGUGUGUGUGUGUGUGUCUUUAUCGGAGAAUGAUUUAUAAUCCUUUGGGUGUAUACCCAGUAAUGAGAUUACUGGGUCAAAUGGUAUUUCUAUGACCAGUGAUGAUGAGCUUUUUUUCAUAUGUUUGUUGGCUGUAUAAAUGUCCUCUUUUGAGAAGUGUCUGUUCUGAUGGGGUUGUUCGUUGCUUGUAAAUUUGCUUAAGUUCCUUGUAGAUUCUGGAUAUUAGCCCUUUGUCAGAUGGAUAGAUUGAAAAAAUUUUCUCCCAUUCUGUUUGUUGCCUGUUCACUCUGAUGAUAGUUUCUUUUGCUACAUAGAAGCUC